Molecule: small RNA, 578 nt
Filed under: uncultured Ascomycota
Lineage: Eukaryota; Fungi; Ascomycota
Description: eukaryotic LSU rRNA
Rfam family: 5.8S ribosomal RNA (bases 213-366)
Source: RNAcentral
CAAUUUCAGUAGGUGAACCUGUGGGAAGGAUCAUAACCGAGUGAGGGCCCCUCUGGGUCCAACCUCCCACCCGUGUUUAUCGUACUUUGUUGCUUAGGCGGGCCCGCCGUCAUGGCCGCCGGGGGGCACCCGCCCCCGGGCCCGCGCCCGCCGAAGACACCAUUGAACUCUGUCUGAAGAUUGCAGUGUGAGUGAUUAGCUAAAUCAGUUAACACUUUCAACAAGGGAUCUCUUGGUUCCGGCAUCGAUGAAGAACGCAGCGAAAUGCGAUAAGUAAUGUGAAUUGCAGAAUUCAGUGAAUCAUCGAGUCUUUGAACGCACAUUGCGCCCCAUGGUAUUCCGGGGGGCAUGCCUGUCCUAGCGUCAUUGCUGCCCUCAAGCACGGCUUGUGUGUUGGGCCCUCGCCCCCCAGUCCCGGGGGGCGGUCCCGAAAGGCAGAGGCGGCACCGCGUCCGGUCCUCGAGCGUAUGGGGCUUCGUCACCCGCUCUGUAGGCCCGGCCGGCGCCCGCCGGCGACCCCCAUCAAUCUUUCCAGGUUGACCUCGGAUCAGGUAGGGAUACCCGCUGAACUUAGCAUA